Molecule: transfer RNA, 74 nt
Filed under: Candidatus Woesearchaeota archaeon
Lineage: Archaea; Nanobdellati; Candidatus Woesearchaeota
Also listed under: 1 other name
Description: tRNA-Arg
Rfam family: tRNA
About the family: Transfer RNA (tRNA) molecules are approximately 80 nucleotides in length. Their secondary structure includes four short double-helical elements and three loops (D, anti-codon, and T loops).
Source: RNAcentral
GGGCCUGUAGCACAAUCCGGACAGUGCGAUCGGCUUCGGACCGAUUGAUCUGGGUUCAAAUCCCGGCGGGCUCG